Molecule: microRNA precursor, 84 nt
Filed under: Ovis aries (sheep)
Lineage: Eukaryota; Metazoa; Chordata; Mammalia; Artiodactyla; Bovidae
Description: miRNA (ENSOARG00000021383.1)
Source: RNAcentral
UUAUGGUGGUGACUAUGUGUGUGCGUAUGUCCAUAUAUAUGGGCAUACACACACACACACACACACACACACACACACACACAC